CNUUGGUAACGAAGCUAACGCGUGAAGUUGACCGCCUGGGGAGUACGGCCGCAAGGUUAAAACUCAAAGGAAUUGACGGGGACCCGCACAAGCGGUGGAUUAUGUGGAUCAAUUCGAUGCAACGCGAAAAACCUUACCUACCCUUGACAUGUACGGAACCCUUCAGAGAUGGAGGGGUGCCCGAAAGGGAGCCGUAACACAGGUGCUGCAUGGCUGUCGUCAGCUCGUGUCGUGAGAUGUUGGGUUAAGUCCCGCAACGAGCGCAACCCUUGUCACUAGUUGCUACAUUCAGUUGGGCACUCUAAUGAGACUGCCGGUGACAAACCGGAGGAAGGUGGGGAUGACGUCAAGUCCUCAUGGCCCUUAUGGGUAGGGCUUCACACGUAAUACAAUGGCCGGUACAGAGGGCUGCCAACCCGCGAGGGGGAGCUAAUCCCAGAAAGCCGGUCGUAGUCCGGAUUGUUCUCUGCAACUCGAGAGCAUGAAGUCGGAAUCGCUAGUAAUCGCGGAUCAGCAUGUCGCGGUGAAUACGUUCCCGGGUCUUGUACACACCGCCCGUCACACCAUGGGAGUGGGUUUCACCAGAAGUAGUUAGCCUAACC
Molecule: ribosomal RNA, 602 nt
Filed under: uncultured bacterium
Lineage: Bacteria
Description: bacterial SSU rRNA
Rfam family: Bacterial small subunit ribosomal RNA
Source: RNAcentral